AAAAUUAGAUUAAUUUAGCUCAGCUGUGCUCACUGAAGGAUUGGGUUGCAGCUGGUGCUGAAACAUUAGCGAUCAGGCCUCCGAGAUCGGGGGCAAGUCUCAAGUUGGAAGGAAGGGAGUAAGAUGGAUUGCCUCUCAGCAUGCCCGCUCCCCAGGAAAAUGAUAGCCUACCAAAGCAGCCCCAGCAUUACAGACAAUGCAGUGGAACACCAGUAAGAAAAUUUCCUAGAACAUGAAGUCCCAGGAUUGGAAGCAUAUAUAACUAAGUAACCAAUCUGAUGCUUAAAUUCCUUACUGCCAAUUAAUUGGAGAUAAUUUUCCAAAUUCUUGGUAAAAUUUAUAUUUUUUGGAAGACACAUACUUGGAGGCAUUCACAGGAAAUAUAUGCAUAAGAUGGCCAAGAGCCCUCCAGACCAAAAUAAUGUUAUCAAAGAUGUCCAAGGAUCUGCAAAUAAGAGGCAAGAUUCCUCAGACAGGCUGCACCAGCGUGAAAAAUCUCCUUUCAAGAAACAGACUUCGCUAUUAGUUCUCAAUGCACCAAAAAGUCAGCAGUGGUAGCUCCGCCUCCUCUCCUCCCCCAAAAGAAAAAUCACCAAGAAUAAGAGGAUUCAGUCAAAAUUUCUGAGACAAUCUCCUCUGGCUGAGCAAGAGGUGGUCCAAAAGCUUCUGCUUCUUUUGAGUUGCACUUAUGGUGUUGCUUUUUCUCACAGUCGACAGUGGAAGCAACAACGGGUAGGUGUGCUCCAGGAUGUGUGGUUUCAGUGGAUGCUCCUAAUGCAAGCAAAGAAGGGACUGUAAAUAAAGCAGACGUGCAGAUGCUACUACUGUGAGAAGCGCUGGGUCUUUUCCCUAAUGCUCAGUGAAUCCCCAUGACUCCAGGACACUCUUGACUUCCAGCCAAUACAUCACAGUCUUCCCCUGCAAUGGCUACAGAGAGAGGUUAAAAAAAAUAGCCCACAAGAGUGCUCUUUCCUUCUCUCUCUGCUCCUUCAGCUCCAAGAAUAGACUCAUUGACGAAGUGUGUCUCUGUGUGUCUGUCUGUUACCCCAUGAUGCAUGCUGCUUCUUAUCCUGUUCUUGGGCCUUUCCUAGAAACGACCUCAGGCAGAGAACUGAAAAUUAAGCAGAAGGAGAAGGGACUAAAGCUACUUCCCAAGAAUAGUUUCAACAAUAAUUACGGCAGUGACGAACGUGCUGUCUGGGGAAAUGUUUGGGAACCUUCAACCCCUUGCGCACAGGCACACAGUUAGUGAGGGGCGUGCAGCCCAUUCACGGGCUGUCUGAUUCUGACAGCUGAGUUCUUACACAGGGCAUCAUCCUAAGCUCAAAAAUGUCAGUUGGAAAGGAAGAAAUCAGCAUAGCGUUAUGUGCAGAGCGAGUGCCUAUAUCGAUGAGAAUCGGAAAGAGAGCCUCUCCAUGCUUCUCCACCUGCUCCGUGUCCAGGACACUGACCUGUCUCACCUGCUGCAACUCCUAUCUCUUUCUGCACCUGAUGCUCUCCAUCAGGGUUCCAGUAACUCUCCUGUGUCCCUUCAGGCUGGGGUGGAAAUGCUCCCCACCCUGCAUGGCUGCUAUGGCUUCCCUGCGUGCUGCCCACACCUUGAACAUCAUUUCUUCAUUAAACUCUCCUAUGUUACCCAUUUUAAGGCUUCCACCUGUUUCUUGCCAAUACCCUGACUGAUUCACACUUACAAUAUUACAUUACAAAUAGAAAAUCUACAUUGCACCUACAUUCUGACUGUCAAGAAUUUCUAUACCCCGCAAAUACUAUAAAGGUCCUCCCUCCCUCCAUAAAACUUCCCCUCCCACUCUGUCCUUUCUCCAGCAGAUGCCACACACUCCACACUUCACACUCACAGCUUUGUUUUCUGCUCUUCCUUCUGUGGCUCUCGAUCCAUAUGGUGAUGCCCCUAACCCUCCGUCUCCCACCUCACUCCCACCGUUAU
Long non-coding RNA from Equus caballus (horse), 1945 nucleotides. NCBI's taxonomy places the organism in Eukaryota, Metazoa, Chordata, Mammalia, Perissodactyla, Equidae. The record is from Ensembl.